Long non-coding RNA from Aquila chrysaetos chrysaetos, 221 nucleotides. RefSeq lists it as uncharacterized. The transcript has 3 exons. Lineage: Eukaryota; Metazoa; Chordata; Aves; Accipitriformes; Accipitridae. The record is from RefSeq and is a predicted model, not a curated record.
GGAUGCUUUGAGGUGGUUUUGGGAUCCCAAGGAUGGUUCGGGGCAAUUUUGGGGAUGCCUUCAGAGGGUUCUGUGAUCCUGACAGCAGUUUAGGGUAGUUUUGGGGUCCUGGGGAGACUUUGGGCUGGUUUUGGUGUCCCAAGGGUCGUUUGGGCCCGUUUUAGGGUCCUGGAAACACUUUGGGAACCCAAGGACAGUUUGACACAAUUUUGAGGAUGCUU